Molecule: non-coding RNA, 23 nt
Filed under: Mus musculus (house mouse)
Lineage: Eukaryota; Metazoa; Chordata; Mammalia; Rodentia; Muridae
Source: RNAcentral
AUAGCUCUGCAUGGUAAAGCCGU